This 219-nucleotide ribosomal RNA is filed under the name uncultured bacterium. RNAcentral's name for it is "partial 16S ribosomal RNA". It matches the Rfam family "Bacterial small subunit ribosomal RNA", at positions 57 to 305 of the family's 1533-position model. The record is from RNAcentral.
GCAAGUCGAGCGAGGUUUCGAACCGAGCGGCGGACGGCUGAGUAACACGUUGGUACCUGCCCUAUACUCAGGGAUAACUAUUGGAAACGAUAGCUAAUACCGGAUAGUCCCGCAAGGGUAAAGAUUUAUCGGUAUAGGAGGGGCCUGCGGCUUAUCAGGUAGUUGGUAGUGUAAUGGACUACCAAGCCUAUGACGAGUAGCUGGUGUGAGAGCAUGACC